AUCAGUCUAACGAUGUGUGUAGCCCAUCAGCAGUGGAGUCUUUGAGCACGAGUGGAAGGAGACAACCUUUCUAUGUGAACAGAGAUCAUGGAGAGUUGUAAGCUUGGGCCUCCUCCAAUCAAGAAUACUCAGGUCAAUUAUACCCUAUAGAAGAAAAAUAAGAAAAAAAAGAUGAUUUCAUCAAGCAAGUAGCUACUAUCUUCCUGCAAUGAGACUGCACUACUCUCAUCUGUUAUGUAAUUUUGGAAAGAAACCAUUAUUACAAUGGACAUGGUUGGAGAACAGUGACAAAUGCUGCCUUUGCAGCACUCUAACUUACCUGGCGUAGCUGAAAGACAUUGGUGUGUGUGAUGUUGAAGAACAGACUGACAAUGGUGUCAGUUUAUUUAAACGAUAAAUCCCAUUUACAUUAAAAUAGACAUUACAACAUGCCAGUGUAUAUAAUAAAAAUGACAAGAGCCAUUGUAUUCCCA
Molecule: non-coding RNA, 473 nt
Organism: Peromyscus maniculatus bairdii (prairie deer mouse)
Lineage: Eukaryota; Metazoa; Chordata; Mammalia; Rodentia; Cricetidae
Source: RefSeq, a predicted model, not a curated record